CCAAGGCGACGAUCGGUAGCCGGCCUGAGAGGGUGAUCGGCCACAUUGGGACUGAGAUACGGCCCAGACUCCUACGGGAGGCAGCAGUAGGGAAUAUUGCACAAUGGGGGAAACCCUGAUGCAGCAACGCCACGUGUGGGAAGGAGCAUUUCGGUGUGUAAACCACUGUCAUGAGGGAAUAAGGCCCUUAUCCGUAAGGGAUUGAAUGUACCUUGAGAGGAAGCACCGGCAAAUUCGUGCCAGCAGCCGCGGUAAUACGAGGGGUGCAAGCGUUGUUCGGAAUUACUGGGCGUAAAGGGAGCGUAGGCGAAGAUUCAAGCGGAUUGUACAAUCCCGGGGCCCAACCCCGGCUCUGCAGUCCGAACUGGAUCUCUUGGAUAGUUCAGGGGCAGGCGGAAUUCCUGGUGUAGCGGUGGAAUGCGUAGAGAUCAGGAAGAACACCGAUGGCGAAGGCAGCCUGCUGGGGACUCAUCGACGCUGAGGCUCGAAAGUGCGGGUAGCAAACAGGAUUAGAUACCCUGGUAGUCCGCACCGUAAA
RNAcentral lists this ribosomal RNA (538 nucleotides) under uncultured Fibrobacter sp. Its description in RNAcentral is "bacterial SSU rRNA". It matches the Rfam family "Bacterial small subunit ribosomal RNA", at positions 268 to 806 of the family's 1533-position model. Lineage: Bacteria; Pseudomonadati; Fibrobacterota; Fibrobacteria; Fibrobacterales; Fibrobacteraceae. The record is from RNAcentral.